CACGUAGGCGGCCUGGUAAGUCAGAUGUGAAAGCCCGGGGCUUAACCCCGGAAGUGCAUUUGAUACUGUCAGGCUUGAGUAUGGGAGAGGGAAGUGGAAUUCCUGGUGUAGAGGUGAAAUUCGUAGAUAUCAGGAGGAACACCGGUGGCGAAGGCGACUUCCUGGACCAAUACUGACUCUGAGGUGCGAAGGCGUGGGUAGCAAACA
RNAcentral lists this ribosomal RNA (207 nucleotides) under uncultured bacterium. RNAcentral's name for it is "partial 16S ribosomal RNA". It matches the Rfam family "Bacterial small subunit ribosomal RNA", at positions 568 to 774 of the family's 1533-position model. The record is from RNAcentral.